Long non-coding RNA from Pipistrellus kuhlii (Kuhl's pipistrelle), 4241 nucleotides. RefSeq lists it as uncharacterized. The record is from RefSeq and is a predicted model, not a curated record. Lineage: Eukaryota; Metazoa; Chordata; Mammalia; Chiroptera; Vespertilionidae. The transcript is spliced from 2 exons.
AACAAAUUGUUUUUUGGAUUGCAUGUGCCAGAUCCCAGGAAAAUAGGUAGAGGAACUUUAAUAAGGUGGUGAGAAUUGAGAAAAGGUCCAGGGCUUCUCAUUAGCCACAAGGUUAGAGUGAAUCAGCGAUGUGAAGCUAAUGCCAAGGGCACCAGUACAACUGAAGGGUAAAGACGUUGGUGUCCUGAUCACUGGCAGGAACAGCCCCCUCUAAAGGCCACACUCCUGUCGGACGUCACCUGGUUUAAUGCACGGGGCUUUGAGUGGCACACCGGCACCCUGGCCGGCAGUCCAGGAACAGGGAUGCCAAUGAUUAGCCUGCACGAAAGAGGCAGAGAUGCAAUCAGGAAAACUGUCAGGAGUAAAGGGAGGAGGAAAUAACUGUAAAAUGUGUCCAUAGGCAAAAUGAGGACCACAGAGCAGGUUACAGGAAGGCAAAAGGAAGAGUGUCUGUCGGAGGCUACUUACCAGUGAGGUGGUUCGCUGUGGGGAGUGCCCAGGACAAGGAGGCUGGAUGUCACUUGUCAGGGCUGCUGUAGGGAGAGGUUUUCAGAGGAUAGAACAUUGGGUUAGAUGACUGUUCCAGUCCAUUUUGACCCAGUGAUUUUCCAAGGUUAGCUUUCCAUAGGGGUAAGAUAUAGAAUAUAGUUUUGGUUUGGUUUUGUUUUAUUUGGGCAUUUACUGUAGGAUAAUAUUCAAUCAUUUACCAGUAUUCAGGCAAACUAAUUCAAGACGGGAGCACCCCUGGGACACUGCCCAAAUCUAUAAUAAUAAAAGCAUAUGCUAGUUGGUCCAGACAGCUGUACGACCUUCCAGACCUUCCAGACAAAGCCUGGCUGCGAGGGCCAAGCCCCUUCACGCAUUUGUGCGUUGGCCGCUAGUCUGAACACAAACGUACCGGUGGUUCACGUGCUGCUCACAUUCAGUUAUGUCUGCCGUGUCACAGCCAAGCUCAUGUAAGGGGUUCAAAUAAAUGCUCAUUGUUCGGCUAUAGAAGCUAUGGACAAGAACCCCCAUUCAGUGACAUGAUUUUAUCAUCUCACCUGGUCCGCUGGCUAGAUGCUUGUAGGAAGUGCCUUGGCAUUCCUGAAGGAUGCCUCCAGAGUAUGCAUUCUUCAACCCUCAAAUCCUUCAGCCUCAGCCACAGGUCAGGAGCCGGCUGUUUCUGUUGGGCCCAGCUGGCGCAGUUUUACUGCAGCACAGCGUUAACUGCUCGUGUUCAGGAGGCGACAUACCUGAACAUGAUUCCCUGAGCGGGGAAGUUAUGUUUAUCUGAAGCUCAUCUCAGUCCUUCCUAAAACAAGGAUAACGGUAGGAGUGCAUCGUAGGUCCUUGUGAGGAUUAGCACCUGAAGUGUUCAGCACAGUGCCUGGUACUAAUAAGUGCUCAAUAAAUGUUAGCCACUAGCUCCGCUGAGAUUUUUAAGUUCUGUGAGUAAGAUCGCCAUCUGCCUUUAUCAUUUUCUUUCAUGAAAUAGAUUACAGAGUCAUAAGAGCUGUGUGAAUGACUGUGAUUCAAACCACAGUUUGGAGGGAAAUAUUUGUUUCACCUGCAGUCACCUCUUUUGCCUCCUCCAAUGCUGCCCCAUCAGACUAAAUCAGUGGUCGGCAAACCGCAGCUCGCGAGCCACAUGCGGCUCUUUGGCCCCUUGAGUGUGGCUCUUCCACAAAAUACCACGUGCGGGCGAACGUACAGUGCGAUUGAAACUUCAUGGACCAUGCGUAGAAGUUGUUUUCGGCCUGAGGGAGUCCAUUUAUUGAAGAAGUGGCGUUAGAACACUCAAGGGGCCAAAGAGCCUCAUGUGGCUCUCGAGCUGCGGUUUGCCGACCACUGGAUUAGGUAAUUUCACAAAUGAGUGAAAACUAGUCACAGCAAAUAGUGUCGCUAUGAGCACUUUCAGAAAGUUUUAAAGUAAUUUAAUGGUCACCUUGCAGUCCCUCAGAAUCAGCAGAUGCUCAAUUCAUACAUCAGAUACUUUAGAUUAGAGAAUGCUCAAUGGGCAUGUUACCUUUAGACACCAAAGUACCGGAGACAUCAUAUUUCCAUUCCAUGCAUAAAUGCCUGCAUGACUUAGACUAAGUCAUAGAUCUUAGAUCCAUGUCUUAGUCCCACCUUUCUCCCAUUAGCCUUGAUGCUGCAGUUAUUCAUUUGAAUAUUAUUUCUGUGCCUUCAAUCAAAACCAUCCUGAAAGAUGAUUUUCAUGAUCCCAUUUAAAGAGAGAAAUUGAGAGAAUGUGAGAGAGUGUGGGGAGAUGCAUGAAAGAUGGUCACCAGAAUAUUAAUGGUGAAUCUUAAUUUAGUUGACUUAUGGUGUUUUUCCCUCCUAUUGUGCUUUUAUGUGUUGAUUUUUUAUAGCAUGAAUUACUUAAUUUUUAAGAGCCUUUUUAAUUGUAGGAGAUAAAAAUCACUCAAUGUCUCUUUCCCCAAAAUGCUGAUAAAAAAUUUUAAUUCCAGGGAAAAGUUUAUUUUAGCAAAUAAAUUUGUAAGUAUUCUUCAUUAAUGAAUUUUUUACAAUCUAUCUUACUUCCCUUUUUGCCUUUACCAAAAACUUACAACCAAAAUGAGAAUGCAACUUAAUAGUUCGCUUUUAAUUUUCUAGGUAACCUCAUUCAUUUGUAAGAUAAACUUCUAUUACAGUUUACUCUUCCGACAGUGUGACACCGAACUUAUGUUGUGAUUUAAACCAGAUCUAGACCCAGUCCGGUCACUUGUGAAAAUCUGUGAGCAAGAUGAAGCCACACUGUCCAGAUGAAAGGGCGGGCAUGUGGCGUCACCUGGCGGGCCUGGGCUUCCCCCACAGGGGAGGAUUGCUGCCCCCAGGGCUGAACGCAGGGUCAUCUCCCUCACCACUCUGCAGGGUUACCCAGGGCUCGACGCUAUUGGCUUAAUCAAAAGUCAAUCAAAAGUCCAUCACAACAGGUCACUCCUGUUGUGAUGAAAUAUUCCAGGUACUCAACCGUCACCAGCUGUGCUUUUUAAUUGUUUAACAUUGCAAAUCUAGUGAAUUUUGAGACUUUGCAAUGUAAACAGGAUAGUAGUCAAAGAAGUAAAUAAACCAGGUAAAUGUAUUUUUAUGAAUUUGAGUUUCAUGCCUCUGUUUCUUAGUACCUAAGUAGAAAGGUUAUUGAAGUUCCGUUUCUAAGGAGGCUUUCUCCUCUACCUCAUUAUUCAAUGAGUCUUGGUAAAGCCUAGCUUUACAGGCUUAUGUUUGUAUCUAGCUGAUUUCCUCUCAACAGAAGAGAAGUAAAUAUUCUUUCUUUUUCUUUUUUUGGAACAAGUUAUAAGUAAAAUCUGUGGGUGAUGUAGGAGAGAGUUUGAGUUGAAUGGAAGGAUGAGUUAGAUAGUCUCUACAGCCCAUUCUCAGUUCCUAGACUUGGAUUCAUGGAAAUCAUGUCCUAAAAUUUGCAGAGGAGUGUAACCCAAACUUUUGAGAUUAAAACCGUCUCAGCAGGAGGAAUACGUCAGCUGUGGUUAGCAUGCUGAAGGGACAAAUGUCAAAUCCUGUAACACUGCCCCAGACCCCACCACCAGCUCUGCAGCAGGCACGUGGCCUGGGCUGUCUCCCAGUACCCCUCCUGAGCUGUCCUCCAAGGAGUCAUGAUAGAAGCGUCUAGACCAGAUCAAAGGAGUCGAGGUCUCUGGUUUACACUCCACUCAACAUUUCUGAAUUGUUCUGCUCAGGCUUUAAGAGGAACACAGACGUGUCUCAAUAUAAAAGGGUCUGAAGAUUCAAGAUUUGAUGUCUUGGGAAAGCAUAGCUUAGAAAAAGAGGAACCUGGGUGAGAUGAAAGCGGUCUCCAGGUGUUGGAAGAAUUCCCAAAGAUGAGACUAGCCCCUACCAAGACCUUCCUUACUCCUGUCCUAGGCUGUCACUCCCACCUGGCCCCGUUAAUACUCCGAACAGCCCCCCAGAGCAUACCCAGGACCCACAGAGCAGCACUUGCUGCGACAUCUUCUGGAGACAUCACAGGGAGGUAGAUUUCCACUCGACGUAAUUCUGUCCUUCAGAAUUGUCCCCGUGACAUGGCAUGUCUUGAAGGCUAUACUUUGUUGUUAAUGCUAGUCGUGAGCUCAUACAUUGACUUACAAUCCACUGAUAAGUUUGAAAAACACUGAUCUUAAGAGCUUUGAAUUUUUAGUUUUCAACUUUUUGCUCACACUAGCACCCGUCUUUGUUUAUCUUUCUGAGAGAGCCUUUCUUGUAGCAAUGCCAGCGGAGAUUUGAACUUGCCCGAGCUGGUU